UAGCGGAGGAAAAGAAACCAACAGGGAUUGCCCCAGUAAUGGCGAAUGAAGCGGCAAGAGCCCAAAUUUGAAAUCGGGCAACCGAGUUGUAAUUUGGAGACGGGACACUAGAGAGGAGGAAGGCGAUUAAGUGCCUUGGAACAGGCUGCCGUAGAGGGUGAGAGCCCCGUGAAUCGCUGGAGACCGAUCAAUUAGUGCCCGCCGAAGAGUCGAGUUGUUUGGGAAUGCAGCUCUAAGUGGGUGGUAUAUUCCAUCUAAGGCUAAAUAUUAGCGAGAGACCGAUAGCAAACAAGUACAGUGAUGGAAAGAUGAAAAGAACUUUGGAAAGAGAGUGAAAUAGUACGUGAAAUUGUUGAAAGGGAAGGGUAUUUGAUCCGACAUGGUGUUUAGCAGCGGCCCGUUCCUCGUGGAUGGGUGCACCUGGUUUACACUGGGCCAGCAUCGGUUCUGGGAGCCAUAUACGGGGUUCGUGAAUGUGGCCCUUCGAUUCUGUCGGAGGGUGUUAUAGCGCGGACAUCUUGUGGCUAGCCGGGACCGGGGACUGCGGUGACUUGUCACCAAGGAUGCUGGCAGAACGAGCAAAUACCACCCGUCUUG
Molecule: ribosomal RNA, 597 nt
Filed under: Brettanomyces bruxellensis
Lineage: Eukaryota; Fungi; Ascomycota; Pichiomycetes; Pichiales; Pichiaceae
Description: eukaryotic LSU rRNA
Rfam family: Eukaryotic large subunit ribosomal RNA
Source: RNAcentral